CCUCAGCUAAGAACCAAACCUUGGAGGCUCUAACAAAUGCCUAUUUAUGGAUUUUCUCCUUCAGUGCUCCUCUAGGGCCUCCUUGGGUUCCUGUCCUCCUGGUCAGCCUGUCCCCUGAGAAUCUGAAGAGAAGUGAGACAGCUCCUGAAGUUACAGCCAGCCAGCAGAGGCCAAGGCUCCAACACUGAUGGGCCUGAAUCCUGCCCCUUUGCUGGCCUGAGAAAAUCUCAGAUCAAGAGCUCAUAUCCCUGAUAUGGAACAGAAGGGCAUGAGGGGACCCACAUCUGGCCACACCUGCUCAAGGCUUCACAGCAAGGACAGUAAGAGGUGGCCAUAUUCAGAGCCUGGGUCCACUUCCCUCUGCCGAUCUCAAGCCGCCCCUCAGACCGAG
Molecule: long non-coding RNA, 391 nt
Filed under: Macaca fascicularis (crab-eating macaque)
Lineage: Eukaryota; Metazoa; Chordata; Mammalia; Primates; Cercopithecidae
Description: lncRNA (ENSMFAG00000049724.1)
Source: RNAcentral